CGCUGGCGGCAUGCUUUACACAUGCAAGUCGAACGGCAGCGCGGGGGCAACCCUGGCGGCGAGUGGCGAACGGGUGAGUAAUAUAUCGGAACGUACCCAGAAGUGGGGGAUAACGUAGCGAAAGUUACGCUAAUACCGCAUACAAUCUACGGAUGAAAGUGGGGGACCUUCGGGCCUCAUGCUUGUGGAGCGGCCGAUAUCUGAUUAGCUAGUUGGUAGGGUAAAGGCCUACCAAGGCGACGAUCAGUAGCUGGUCUGAGAGGACGACCAGCCACACUGGAACUGAGACACGGUCCAGACUCCUACGGGAGGCAGCAGUGGGGAAUUUUGGACAAUGGGCGCAAGCCUGAUCCAGCAAUGCCGCGUGAGUGAAGAAGGCCUUCGGGUUGUAAAGCUCUUUUGUCAGGGAAGAAACGGCUGCAGCUAAUAUCUGUGGCUAAUGACGGUACCUGAAGAAUAAGCACCGGCU
This 469-nucleotide ribosomal RNA is filed under the name uncultured bacterium. Its description in RNAcentral is "bacterial SSU rRNA". It matches the Rfam family "Bacterial small subunit ribosomal RNA", at positions 34 to 498 of the family's 1533-position model. The record is from RNAcentral.